GGGGGCACACCCAUGGCAUAUGGCGGUUCCCAGGCUAGGGGUCAAAUCAGAACUUUAGCUGCCGGCCUACACCACAGACACAGCAACGUGGGAUCUGAGCCGCCUCUACGACCUACACCAUAGCUCAAGGCAAUGCCAGAUCCUUAACCCAUUGAGCAAGGGCUCAAACCCUCAUCCUCAUGGAUGCUAGUCAGGUUCUUCACCCGCUGAGCCACAACGGGAACUCCCGAAGAGACGUUUCGAUGGAAGAAUGCAUGUAAAGCACUUAGCAGAGUUCCUUUCGCAUAGUGGUUCACUCAGGAGCUGUUAGCUACAAGGUCUGCUUAUUAAAAAUUUCCUGCCUCACCCCGAUUUUACUCAUGCGUACAGAAGUAAGGAAGAGAGAGAGGCAGGGAGAAACCCAGACUGUUUGGUUGGCUCUCAUGUUGGCAAUAGAAGGGCUGGUCCAAGUCCAUAAGCCCGACAUGCGUGGCCUCCUUGGCUCCCGCCACCUGCUCACCUGGAGGCUCUUUACACUCUGUAGAAGACUUUUUUUUUUCUCCUUCUAAGUUUGGCCCGGCCAAUUCUAAUGAAAACACCUCUGAGUUCCAGAAUGAUGGUACGAAGGGGAAGGACCCCGCAUGGCUGCAAGGCGCCAGCUGCUCCUGCUGUGACCUGGACAGGAGGAUGGAGCCCUGGGCCUGCCCGGGAGGGUGGGUUCUAGAGUGCUCAGGCCUGGUGUGGAGGGGGUCCCCACAUCUCUGAGACCCGACAGAAGCAUCAUUUGAAGGGUGACAUGCCUUCUUGUUUUGUGGUGUCGUGUUUAGUUUUUUAAAAUCAAAUAGUAUCCAUGUAUGUGUCACUGCGCUGGGGUGCGUGUUGGCGCGGGAUGUGGUGAGAGACGGUAUCAGCCUCGCUGGGAAACUUAGUCCAAAUCAACAGCUAACAUUUCUCCUACCCAUCCUGAAAAUGCCAGGAUUCUCAGUCAUUCUGUGUGUGGGGGGCGGGGCGGGGGCGCGGGGGGGUUGGUUUUUUAUGUCUUUUUAAGGCUGCUCCUAUGGCAUAUGGAGGUGCCCAGCCUAGGGGUCCAAUCAGAGCUGCAGCUGCCAGUCUACACCACAGCCACAGCAAUGCCAGAUCCGAGCUGCAUCUGCGACCUACACCACAGCUCAGGGCAAUGCCAGAUCCUUAAGGAUCUGAGUGAGGCCAGGGAUCGAACCCUUGACCUAGUGGAUACUAGUCAAGUUCUUAAAAUGCUGAGCCAGGACAGGAACUCCUGUUUCAGUCAUUCUGAUGGGACUGUGGCAUCUGGACACGAAUCUUGAUAAAGAAGCCCAAGGCAUCUGACAUCGCCCCUCCAGCUGCAAGAACGAGUGCUAAGCUGUCCGAGGGGCCACAGCCACCUGCCGGCAGAGAGCUCGUCGGAGGUAGAAGGUGAAACCCAGCGCUCCUCCAGGCGCCUAUGCCGCUUGUUCAUCUUUUUCUACCAAAGCCGACACCACACCGUCCUUGCUGUUCCCGCUUUGUUUAGUCCCGCUCUGGCUUACGCCCUGCCUUUCUCUGCUUGUCCCCCUCCUGUUGGCCUCUGGGGACACUUCAGAGCCCAUGAGCAGAGUAUAAGGACGUCAUCGCUCAGCGCUGCCCUUUUCCCAUUUCCUUUGUGAUGGCGCACCCGCUGCAUAUGGAGGCUCCCAGGCUAGGGGCCCAAUCGAGCUGCAGCCACUGGCCUACACCACAGCCACAGCAACGCGGGAUCCGAACCUCAUCUGUGACCACAGCCACAGCAACCAGGGAUCCGAGCCAAAUCUGUGACCACAGCCACAGCAACACAGGAUCCAAGCCAAAUCUGUGACCACAGCCAUAGCAACGCCAGAUCCUUAACCUCUGAGCGAGGCCAGGGAUUGAACCCACAUCCUCACAGACACUGUCGGGUUCUUAACCUGCUGAGCCACAAUGGGAACUCCACUAGCACUGUGAAGGGGGGGUUAGAAAACAGACUUUCAGGUACUGAUGAAAUGCUACUAGGGCGAGGGCCAGUACAGAGGUGCUGGGCAGCGCAAGGGAGAGACGACAAAAGCCUGGGCCAAGUGCUUGCUCCACCUGUAACAGUUCAGGGCGGAGCUCCCAGGGCGUGGACUUGGAAUUCUACGUGCUGUCAGGAGACCUGCCUGACCCCCUGACCAAGAUCCCGGGAACAACAUUAACUGGCACGAAUGUGUGAGCUCCCCUGGGGAGACCUGAUUCACGUCUCCCAGGACUCCUCCAACUCUACCUUCUCUGAACAGAGAGAAGAGCUCUCCCCUCUUGUUCUCACCAGCUCCACUCACCUGUGAUGGGGAGAGAGCCAGGCGCCUGAGAUGCCUGUCCUUUCAGACUGUGAGGUCUGCGAUCAGGGGCCCGAGAGAGUCUGGGCCCCAGCGGUCCUCCAAGAAGACAACGCUAAAGUCAGGUGGCCGGGGAGGGGCAUGAAGAAAGCCAGAGGUGGGGGUGUUGACAGGAGGGGGGCACAGAGGGGCGAUGAACCUGAGCCACUGAAACCAACAAUGCCUCCGACAUGAACCCUCCAGACCCCAGACUGGGACUCGAAGCCACAUGCCCGGACUCGAGCCUCGCCAAAAACCGGAUUGGGACUUGAACUCACAUUGGUUUAAGUUAGAAUCCCUCACCUGGUGUCUGGACUAACCGAGAUUCAGGUGCUUUGUGUCUCAGCACAGAAGGAAAUCAGCAAGAGACAAAGUGACAGCAGAUUUAUCACCAUCACAUCUCGAAUAAAUACGGGGCCAUCCUGAGACCCCCCCAAGGAACCUAGACGGAGAAGAGGAGGGGGAAAAAGUGUGAUGCGUGCAGUGCUGACUCCGAAUUGAUCAGGAAAUGCAAAUGGGGACAUUUCCUGUUCAUUUUCAAAAUCAACUGAAUUG
This 2897-nucleotide long non-coding RNA is filed under the name Sus scrofa (pig). RNAcentral's name for it is "lncRNA (ENSSSCG00030013495.1)". The record is from RNAcentral. Lineage: Eukaryota; Metazoa; Chordata; Mammalia; Artiodactyla; Suidae.